AACCUCCGCAAUGUGAGAAAUCGCGACGGGGGGAUCCCAAGUGCCAUUCUUAACGGGAUGGCUUUUCAUUAGUGUAAAGAGCUUUUGGAAUAAGAGCUGGGCAAGACCGGUGCCAGCCGCCGCGGUAACACCGGCAGCUCUAGUGGUAACAAUUUUUAUUGGGCCUAAAGCGUCCGUAGCCGGUUUAAUAAGUCUCUGGUGAAAUCCUGUAGCUUAACUGUGGGAAUUGCUGGAGAUACUAUUAGACUUGAGAUCGGGAGAGGUUAGAGGUACUCCCAGGGUAGAGGUGAAAUUCUGUAAUCCUGGGAGGACCGCCUGUUGCGAAGGCGUCUAGCUGGAACGAUUCUGACGGUGAGGGACGAAAGUUAGGGGCGCGAACCGGAUUAGAUACCCGGGUAGUCCUAACUGUAAACGAUGCGGACUUGGUGUUGGGGUGGCUUUGAGCUGCUCCAGUGCCGAAGGGAAGCUGUUAAGUCCGCCGCCUGGGAAGUACGGUCGCAGGACUGAAACUUAAAGGAAUU
This 521-nucleotide ribosomal RNA is filed under the name uncultured bacterium. Its description in RNAcentral is "bacterial SSU rRNA". It matches the Rfam family "Archaeal small subunit ribosomal RNA", at positions 345 to 866 of the family's 1478-position model. The record is from RNAcentral.